UAAAAGACAUGACAAUCGGCAUAAGAACAUAAAAAAUGCAUUUGAAUUCUGUUGAUUAUAAUGAAUUACAAUAGCUGUCAAUCAUGUGUGUAUUUGAUGUAACAUCUAUGAUCACAGUGUGUGUUUGUGUGUGCCUAUUGUUUCUUAAGUAUAGGUUCACAUGGAUAAGAGCCAGUAAAAAUAAUGUAACCUGAUCCACUGUGUGAGAGAGAUAUGCCUGAGGGAAGAUCACAUUUACUUUCAUCAGGAAAACAGACAUCUCAUCUCACUGGGCUGACGAUUCCACAUUCUCCUCUGGUGUCAGGGACAGUCAGGGGUCAGCGAACGCAGACAAUCGGUGGUCUCACACGUCCCCUCAGAGUCGACUCUCUUCUUCUGUGUCAGCACAAAAACACUAGAUGUUUGCUGGAGAGUCACACAAGAGAGCUGGAAGAUUUUACUAGCAGUCAGCAGAAAAAAGACAGCCGGCAGCCAACAAGAAAGACGUUGAGUCUAAAACAAUGAAUGCUUCACUGACACACAGACGAGGUUUUCUGAGGUCAUCCAGAGGAUAGAAAUACACUGAUCUGUCAUGAGCUUGAGAUCAAUGUGAGCACUAAAACAGAGCAAUUAACAGACUGAUAAUGAAAAUAUAGAGCUACAGCAAGACAUCUCAAAAAGAGUCUCAUUUUCAAAAGAUAUUUCAUGAUUAAUGAAACAUUGUUUGAAGAUGAUAUAGUAUCAUUACAUGACAACUCAACAAGAGGUCCCUGACUCAACUAGUAUUAAAAAACAUGUUUUUAACUGGUAAGAGAUCAAAGUAAAUGAUGAUAAAAGCCAGAAUAUUAAAUGCCAUGGAUCAAUAUUUACUCAGUAAUCCAUUAUUUUGUAGAGGAGGGUCAAAAUGACCAUUUUUGCUUGUGAUAUUGGAGCAAAAGUACAGGUAAACAAAACAUUACCUUAGAAAAGUGGCACCGUCAUUAUUGUUUUUUUUUAGGUACAGAGAUAGGUAGGUCAGUACUAUGACUAAAAGAGAUUAUGACAUUAUUGCUUUUAUGUGAAUAAAUAAAGGUACAUAACUAGGCUCAACAUUAUUUGUACUUCAAACCUUUGUUUCAUCGGACAAGAAAAACUAGCUUCACACCGAGUAACACACAUUUGGUUUUCGACCAUUUAAAAUGGGUAAUAUUUAACAAUUUACCAUAUUUAGAGCCCCAUAUCUCUGGGAUUUAACCAUAUAAGGCCUUACAAAUGAAGAUACUAAAAGAAAAGUUUGUUUUUAACCAGAAUCUAAAAGGAUGUUAAGAUAUCUUUAAUACUUCUAGAGUUAUAGGCACGCCAACUUUGGAAAAACAACACAAAAAGUGUAUUUUCCCAUUUUCGGACUCACACCAUUGGCAUGUAAUGCAACAAGAGGUGCUGAAAUCAACUGAUAUUAGUAAUAGAUCUACCAAUCUCUGUGUACAAAUAAAAUAAUGAUGAUGACACACUUCUAGGGUUAUUUGUUUGACCUGUAGUUUUGCUCAAAAAUUAUAGGCGAAAAUCUUAAUUUGACGCACCUCUACAAAUUAAUGGAUUACUCAGUAAAUAUUCAUCCAUGGCAUUUCAUAUUUUGGCUUUCACCAUCAUUUAUGUUUAUGUUUCAGAAAAAGUAUUAACAAAAUCAUACAUUUCAGCCAGGGAAGUUUCUGGAAUUUGGUUGAUUUGACAUGGAAUAAACCUUUUGUGAUUAAUGCAACAUUGACUAUUGAAUCAUUCCUUAUGUUUUAUGUAGAGUUAAAAACUGUUUGUCUGGACAGAAGGUUUUACACUUUGAAAUGACAAAAAAAAAAAGCAGAUGGGAAUUUUUGGCCAGUGCAUCGCAAAGGGCGGUAGAGUUUCCUAUAAAUGUUUGUGCCAUUAAUUCGAAUUAGUUCUUAUACAGAUAGCUAUAAACAUGUCGACAGAUUAACUAAUUUUAACUAACUCGCUGAACAAGAUUCUCCUCAAACUGUUGUUGAACUGAAAGAGAAAACUGACUGUACAAGUAAACAGUUUACACUAAUUUCCCUUCUCGACUUGAAAUUUUGCAUGCAGUCUAAGUUGCCAUCAAGGUCUAUGAGGACAGUUGCAUAUCUUUAAAAACAUGGCCAUCGACCAAUCAGCUUUCAGCAGCUUUUAAAUAGGGUUAAAUAAGGCCGAUCGGAACUAAACUUGGUACGCCUAUUUGUCUCUUGACCCAAGAGGUCUGUGCAAAAUUUGAAAGAAUUGGCCACCAGGAGAGGCUAUCUCGUUUUACAAGCGUGUAAAUCAUUAUAUAUACCGCUGUGUUUCACAAAGAAACACUUUAUUCAUACCACAUUGUAGAUCUCCUCAUUCUGAACAACUUUGCCCAAAGACCAUUGGUGUGAAACAAAAUGUUUAAUAAACACUUGAGAUUAUUUUAAAAGAUUACUUUUUCGAACUAAUCCUAGGCCGUUCACCUGAUCGGAACCAAACCAGUGCAGAAAGAUUCUCUGGAGUCCCAAAAUGAAGAUUUAUCAAAGGAAUUUUGAAAUUUUGAUUUAUCGUCAAACGGUACGCCAAAACAUUCAAAAUGGGCGUGGCCACUUUUACAAAAAUGGUUAUAACCCUUGAACAGAAUCAGAUAUUGUCACCAAAUUUGGUACACAUAUGUAUCGAGUCAUUUUAAGGACACCUAAAAAAAAUUGUGCAUCUCCACCUCUUGGUGGCGCUAUAAAAGUUUUUUUUUUUUUUAAAUGGAUCUAACUAUGGAACGGCUGGACCGAUCCACUUGAAAUUUUGCAUGCAGUGUUUGUGUCUAAGGUGCCAUCAAGGUCUAUAAGGACAGUCACAUACCUAGAAAAACAUGGCCGCCAUCAAUAAAAUAAUCUUUUAGCAGCUAUUUGAUCUAGUCCUAGUCUGUUCACCCGAUCGGAACCAAUCCAGUGCAGAAAGAUUCUCUGGAGUCCCAGAAUGAACAGUUAUCUAAGGAAUUUUUUUAAUUUUGAUUUAUCGGUACGCCAAAAUGUUCGUAAUGGGCGUGGCCACUUUUACAAAAAUGGUUAUAACUCUUGAACAGAAUCAGAUAUUGUCACCAAAUUUGGUACACAUAUGUGUCAACAAAAUCAUCUUUUAGCAGCUAUCUGAUCUAGUCCUAGUCCGUUCAUCCGAUCGGAACCAAACCAGUGCAGAAAGAUUCUCUGGAGUCCCAUUAUUAAUAAUGAUCAAAAAAACUUUUAACCUUCGAGUCAAUGUCGCAAAGCUACACCAACGAUGUUGUGGCAACACUGGGAAUGUAGCUAUGUUUCCAUCCAAGUUGCGAAUUUAAUUUAUGCGAGAAAAAAAUAUUAUCGCAAAAACAAUGUGUGAAUUAAGCCAUGUUUCCAUCCAAGGGUGUUCAAAAGGAUGAAAUCGUCACUUCCGGAAAAACUGUGGCCACUGUGAGUGUUUAAUGAAUAAAAUACUGGCGGUUUAGAGCACGCAGACAAAACGCUGUAAAGAACUUUGUCUCAUGUUUGGGAGUGACAGCACGUCACACACUUCUGAGUACUAUAUAUGUGCGUUCAUCCUUCUUUAUGACUAUACCGUGUGGAUCUAUAAGAUAUAAGUUUCAAUAAACCUUCUGUUCCGUACAGUUCAAGUUUGUUUUCAACUUAUUUGCUCUGCAAACUCUUUGUAGGCUUUGGAUUUUCUAGACACUGUUAUUUCAGGAUGACCAGAGCAACAUUUCAGAUGCGAUGAUUGGCCCACCGGUUAGUCCAGUAAUGAACGAGUUUUUCAGUCACAUGACCUUUUUGAUGCACAUCAUUUAUUCCUAACAAAUUCAAUAGGAGUUUAUUUGGUAAAUGUGUCUCCAUCAUAGUUUAUGUGCAUUUCUUUUUAUCGAAUAAAAAAAUUAUCCACCUCAAGAGAUGUGUAUUUUUUUUAAUGAGCAUUUUGGAGAUUUAUUCUCAUCUUGGUGUUUCCAUCCAACAGUUUUUAUGCAAUAACCUAAAAUGCACAUAAAAAUAACGUUGAUGGAACAUGUACUUGUGCCACAUCAGGGGCAUGGCCCCCCUUUCACCCCCCAUAUUUUUCAGUCUGUUGGCGAUUUUAUAUCUUAAUAGUUGUUUAUUUGCUCAGAAAAUACAUAAAAGUGAUUUUAAAUCAGAAUUGUAACUGCAUCUGUAGCCGAGUAGAUUUUCUGUAAAUGUUUAAUGAAAUAAAAAAUCUAGUUAAAAACAA
Molecule: long non-coding RNA, 4185 nt
Organism: Myxocyprinus asiaticus (Chinese sucker)
Lineage: Eukaryota; Metazoa; Chordata; Actinopteri; Cypriniformes; Catostomidae
Exons: 2
Source: RefSeq, a predicted model, not a curated record